AUCACUUGGGAAUUUUAUUAAAAUGCAGAUUAUGAUUCUAAAGAUUUGAGGUCAAACCUGAGAUUGUGCAUUUCUAACAAGCUCCCAGGUGAUGCUGA
This 98-nucleotide microRNA precursor is filed under the name Loxodonta africana (African savanna elephant). RNAcentral's name for it is "mir-544 microRNA precursor family". It matches the Rfam family "mir-544 microRNA precursor family". Lineage: Eukaryota; Metazoa; Chordata; Mammalia; Proboscidea; Elephantidae. The record is from Rfam by way of RNAcentral.